Molecule: long non-coding RNA, 214 nt
Filed under: Prunus persica (peach)
Lineage: Eukaryota; Viridiplantae; Streptophyta; Magnoliopsida; Rosales; Rosaceae
Description: long non-coding RNA (PPER_LNC004675)
Source: RNAcentral
GUUGGUGUAUUGCAUAGUUUUGGCAAUUGGAUUUCACUCAAAAUUCACCAAAUGACUCCGGCCACAACAUUAUGAUGUUCGCCAAGUUUUGGACUCAAUUCGAUAUCGAUUGUUCCAUGAAAUUGGACAAUUCUGGUUCGUACAAAGUUCGUUCUGAAAUGGAGUGGUUGGUGUACUGUAUAGUUUUAGCCAUUGGAUUUCACUCAAAACUCAC